This 22-nucleotide microRNA is filed under the name Tribolium castaneum (red flour beetle). Its description in RNAcentral is "tca-miR-124-5p". Its record names the gene tca-miR-124-5p. Lineage: Eukaryota; Metazoa; Arthropoda; Insecta; Coleoptera; Tenebrionidae. The record is from miRBase by way of RNAcentral.
AGUGUUCACUGUUGGCCUGUAU